UCUGAGUGCUUUGUGGGCUUGGUCC
This 25-nucleotide microRNA is filed under the name Equus caballus (horse). RNAcentral's name for it is "eca-miR-9141". Lineage: Eukaryota; Metazoa; Chordata; Mammalia; Perissodactyla; Equidae. The record is from miRBase by way of RNAcentral.